RNAcentral lists this ribosomal RNA (253 nucleotides) under uncultured bacterium. RNAcentral's name for it is "partial 16S ribosomal RNA". It matches the Rfam family "Bacterial small subunit ribosomal RNA", at positions 524 to 776 of the family's 1533-position model. The record is from RNAcentral.
UACAGAGGUGGCAAGCGUUGUUCGGAAUUACUGGGCGUAAAGGGCGCGUAGGCGGCCAUCUAAGUCAGACGUGAAAUCCCUCAGCUUAACUGGGGAACUGCGUCUGAUACUGGAUGGCUUGGAUUCGGGAGAGGAAUGCGGAAUUCCAGGUGUAGCGGUGAAAUGCGUAGAUAUCUGGAGGAACACCGGUGGCGAAGGCGGCAUUCUGGACCGAUAUUGACGCUGAGGAGCGAAAGCCAGGGGAGCAAACGGG